RNAcentral lists this long non-coding RNA (216 nucleotides) under Vitis vinifera (wine grape). RNAcentral's name for it is "long non-coding RNA (VVIN_LNC004165)". The record is from RNAcentral. Lineage: Eukaryota; Viridiplantae; Streptophyta; Magnoliopsida; Vitales; Vitaceae.
AACCUUAAGCAAAAAUGACUCCUUAAACUUUUGGAAAAGCAUGUUUUUGAAAAACUUGAGUCUAAGUUUGGGGGUCAUAUUACUUAUUGGGAACGUGCGGUGAUUAAGCCGUAGCACCCCUCUAAGCCUGUAUACCAACAGUCUACUAAACGAAUAGAGGGAAUUAUGACAAUUGAUUAAUUAAUUAAUCAAGGAUACCAAAAAAAGAACAACAAG